Molecule: long non-coding RNA, 290 nt
Filed under: Ananas comosus (pineapple)
Lineage: Eukaryota; Viridiplantae; Streptophyta; Magnoliopsida; Poales; Bromeliaceae
Description: long non-coding RNA (ACOM_LNC037708)
Source: RNAcentral
UUGUGAAUUUAAGAGGACAUUCUUCUCUAUUACAAUUUACUAAACGAUACAUUCUCAUCUCAAAAUUCGUAUAUGUCGCAUUUGAACGAAUCGCGAUCAAUUUUUGAAUCGCGAUCAAUUUUUUUCGACCGCCAACAUAUCGGGGACUAUUUCCAUCCGUAACUAACUGUCCAUCCCAAUGAACACUAAGAGACAUUCGACAACUAGCCAUUUUAACUACACAGAAAAAACUUUCAAAUCUUCUCUCAAAAUAUAUAGUGAAUAUAAUACAAAAGUUUAAAUCUAAACUA